AGUGAACGCUGGCGGUAGGCCUAACACAUGCAAGUCGAACGGCAGCACAGUAAGAGCUUGCUCUUACGGGUGGCGAGUGGCGGACGGGUGAGGAAUACAUCGGAAUCUACUUUUUCGUGGGGGAUAACGUAGGGAAACUUACGCUAAUACCGCAUACGACCUACGGGUGAAAGCAGGGGAUCUUCGGACCUUGCGCGAUUGAAUGAGCCGAUGUCGGAUUAGCUAGUUGGCGGGGUAAAGGCCCACCAAGGCGACGAUCCGUAGCUGGUCUGAGAGGAUGAUCAGCCACACUGGAACUGGGACACGGUCCAGACUCCUACGGGAGGAGGAAGUGGGGAAUAUUGGACAAUGGGCGCAAGCCUGAUCCAGCCAUACCGCGUGGGUGAAGAAGGCCUUCGGGUUGUAAAGCCCUUUUGUUGGGAAAGAAAAGCAGCAGGUUAAUACCCCGCUGUUCUGACGGUACCCAAAGAAUAAGCACCGGCUAACUUCGUG
RNAcentral lists this ribosomal RNA (492 nucleotides) under uncultured bacterium. RNAcentral describes it as "partial 16S ribosomal RNA". It matches the Rfam family "Bacterial small subunit ribosomal RNA", at positions 29 to 507 of the family's 1533-position model. The record is from RNAcentral.